RNAcentral lists this small RNA (28 nucleotides) under Bombyx mori (domestic silkworm). Its description in RNAcentral is "ovarian small RNA-32956". Lineage: Eukaryota; Metazoa; Arthropoda; Insecta; Lepidoptera; Bombycidae. The record is from RNAcentral.
UGAUGUUAAGGUGAUAUUCAUCCUGCCC